GAUGAACGCUGGCGGCGUGCCUAAUACAUGCAAGUCGAGCGAACGGACGAGAAGCUUGCUUCUCUGAUGUUAGCGGCGGACGGGUGAGUGACACGUGGAUAACCUACCUAUAAGACUGGGAUAACUUCGGGAAACCGGAGCUUAUACCGGAUAAUAUUUUGAACCGCAUGGUUCAAAAGUGAAAGACGGUCUUGCUGUCACUUAUAGAUGGAUCCGCGCUGCAUUAGCUAGUUGGUAAGGUAACGGCUUACCAAGGCAACGAUGCAUAGCCGACCUGAGAGGGUGAUCGGCCACACUGGAACUGAGACACGGUCCAGACUCCUACGGGAGGCAGCAGUAGGGAAUCUUCCGCAAUGGGCGAAAGCCUGACGGAGCAACGCCGCGUGAGUGAUGAAGGUCUUCGGAUCGUAAAACUCUGUUAUUAGGGAAGAACAUAUGUGUAAGUAACUGUGCACAUCUUGACGGUACCUAAUCAGAAAGCCACGGCUAACUACGUG
RNAcentral lists this ribosomal RNA (497 nucleotides) under uncultured bacterium. RNAcentral's name for it is "partial 16S ribosomal RNA". It matches the Rfam family "Bacterial small subunit ribosomal RNA", at positions 28 to 507 of the family's 1533-position model. The record is from RNAcentral.